GCCGAGGUGGUGAAAUUGGUAUACACGCACGCUUGAGGGGCGUGUGGAGCGAUCCAUGCGGGUUCGAGUCCCGCCCUCGGCA
Molecule: transfer RNA, 82 nt
Filed under: Aridibacter sp.
Lineage: Bacteria; Pseudomonadati; Acidobacteriota; Blastocatellia; Blastocatellales; Blastocatellaceae
Also listed under: 1 other name
Description: tRNA-Leu
Rfam family: tRNA
About the family: Transfer RNA (tRNA) molecules are approximately 80 nucleotides in length. Their secondary structure includes four short double-helical elements and three loops (D, anti-codon, and T loops).
Source: RNAcentral